This 369-nucleotide long non-coding RNA is filed under the name Homo sapiens (human). Its description in RNAcentral is "non-protein coding lnc-SERINC1-7:2". Lineage: Eukaryota; Metazoa; Chordata; Mammalia; Primates; Hominidae. The record is from RNAcentral.
UAUGCAGAGUUACCUUCCUAAUGACACUGUAGAAUCUGGCAUCCAUCCAGUAUAUUUUUGCAGCACCCAUUAUAUUGAAAUGCUACUGAAGGCUGAGUUGCCUCUUGUGUUUUCAGCUUUUCACAUGUCUGGUUUUGCACCAUCACAGAUUUGCCUGCAAUGGAUAACCCAGUGUUUUUGGAAUUACUUAGAUUGGAUAGAAAUCUGCCAUUAUAUUGCUACUUGUGUUUUCCUUGGUCCUGAUUAUCAAGUGUAUAUCUGUAUAGCUGUAUUCAAACAUUUACAGCAAGACAUUCUACAGCACACUCAGACUCAAGAUCUGCAAGUUUUCCUAAAAGAAGAAGCACUGCAUGGGUUUCGAGUGAGUGA